RNAcentral lists this ribosomal RNA (418 nucleotides) under uncultured bacterium. Its description in RNAcentral is "bacterial SSU rRNA". It matches the Rfam family "Bacterial small subunit ribosomal RNA", at positions 335 to 766 of the family's 1533-position model. The record is from RNAcentral.
ACUCCUACGGGAGGCAGCAGUGGGGAAUCUUGGACAAUGGGCGCAAGCCUGAUCCAGCCAUGCCGCGUGAGUGAUGAAGGCCCUAGGGUCGUAAAGCUCUUUCGCCAGGGAUGAUAAUGACAGUACCUGGUAAAGAAACCCCGGCUAACUCCGUGCCAGCAGCCGCGGUAAUACGGAGGGGGUUAGCGUUGUUCGGAAUUACUGGGGCGUAAAGCGCGCGUAGGCGGACUGGAAAGUUGGGGGUGAAAUCCCCGGGGGCUCAACCUCGGAACUGCCUCCAAAACUCCCAGUCUUGAGUUCGAGAGAGGUGAGUGGAAUUCCGAGUGUAGAGGUGAAAUUCGUAGAGUAUUCGGAGGAACACCAGUGGCGAAGGCGGCUCACUGGCUCGAUACUGACGCUGAGGUGCGAAAGUGUGGGA